RNAcentral lists this ribosomal RNA (252 nucleotides) under uncultured bacterium. RNAcentral's name for it is "partial 16S ribosomal RNA". It matches the Rfam family "Bacterial small subunit ribosomal RNA", at positions 524 to 776 of the family's 1533-position model. The record is from RNAcentral.
UACAGAGGUCCCAAGCGUUGUUCGGAUUCACUGGGCGUAAAGGGUGCGUAGGCGGUUGGGUAAGUCUGAUGUGAAAUCUCACAGCUUAACUGUGAAACUGCAUUGGAUACUAUCCGGCUAGAGGAAUGGAGGGGAGACUGGAAUACUUGGUGUAGCAGUGAAAUGCGUAGAUAUCAAGUGGAACACCAGUGGCGAAGGCGAGUCUCUGGACAUUUCCUGACGCUGAGGCACGAAAGCCAGGGAGCGAACGGG